RNAcentral lists this ribosomal RNA (449 nucleotides) under uncultured bacterium. RNAcentral's name for it is "partial 16S ribosomal RNA". It matches the Rfam family "Bacterial small subunit ribosomal RNA", at positions 29 to 523 of the family's 1533-position model. The record is from RNAcentral.
AACGAACGCUGGCGGCAGGCUUAACACAUGCAAGUCGAACGCCACCUUCGGGUGGAGUGGCAGACGGGUGAGUAACGCGUGGAAACGUACCUUUUGUUUCGGAAUAUUCCCGGGAAACUGGGAGCAAUACCGAAUGUGCCCUGAGGGGGAAAGGUUUAUCGGCAAAAGAUUGGUCCGCGUUAGAUUAGGUAGUUGGUAGGGUAAAGGCCUACCAAGCCUACGAUCUAUAGCUGGUCUGAGAGGAUGAUCAGCCACAUUGGGACUGAGACACGGCCCAAACUCCUACGGGAGGCAGCAGUGGGGAAUAUUGGACAAUGGGCGCAAGCCUGAUCCAGCCAUGCCGCGUGAAUGAUGAAGGCCUUAGGGUUGUAAAAUUCUUUCACCGGGGACGAUAAUGACGGUACCCGGAGAAGAAGCCCCGGCUAACUUCGUGCCAGCCGCCGCCGUAA